GGCGGCAGGCCUAACACAUGCAAGUCGAGCGGAAACGAGUUAUCUGAACCUUCGGGGAACGAUAACGGCGUCGAGCGGCGGACGGGUGAGUAAUGCCUAGGAAAUUGCCCUGAUGUGGGGGAUAACCAUUGGAAACGAUGGCUAAUACCGCAUGAUGCCUACGGGCCAAAGAGGGGGACCUUCGGGCCUCUCGCGUCAGGAUAUGCCUAGGUGGGAUUAGCUAGUUGGUGAGGUAAGGGCUCACCAAGGCGACGAUCCCUAGCUGGUCUGAGAGGAUGAUCAGCCACACUGGAACUGAGACACGGUCCAGACUCCUACGGGAGGCAGCAGUGGGGAAUAUUGCACAAUGGGCGCAAGCCUGAUGCAGCCAUGCCGCGUGUGUGAAGAAGGCCUUCGGGUUGUAAAGCACUUUCAGUCGUGAGGAAGGUGGUGUAGUUAAUAGCUGCAUUAUUUGACGUUAGCGACAGAAGAAGCACCGGCUAACUCCGUGCCAGCAGCCGCGGUAAUACGGAGGGUGCGAGCGUUAAUCGGAAUUACUGGGCGUAAAGCGCAUGCAGGUGGUUUGUUAAGUCAGAUGUGAAAGCCCGGGGCUCAACCUCGGAAUAGCAUUUGAAACUGGCAGACUAGAGUACUGUAGAGGGGGGUAGAAUUUCAGGUGUAGCGGUGAAAUGCGUAGAGAUCUGAAGGAAUACCGGUGGCGAAGGCGGCCCCCUGGACAGAUACUGACACUCAGAUGCGAAAGCGUGGGGAGCAAACAGGAUUAGAUACCCUGGUAGUCCACGCCGUAAACGAUGUCUACUUGGAGGUUGUGGCCUUGAGCCGUGGCUUUCGGAGCUAACGCGUUAAGUAGACCGCCUGGGGAGUACGGUCGCAAGAUUAAAACUCAAAUGAAUUGACGGGGGCCCGCACAAGCGGUGGAGCAUGUGGUUUAAUUCGAUGCAACGCGAAGAACCUUACCUACUCUUG
RNAcentral lists this ribosomal RNA (966 nucleotides) under bacterium WP3ISO21. RNAcentral's name for it is "bacterial SSU rRNA". It matches the Rfam family "Bacterial small subunit ribosomal RNA", at positions 38 to 983 of the family's 1533-position model. The record is from RNAcentral.